Long non-coding RNA from Rhodamnia argentea, 526 nucleotides. RefSeq lists it as uncharacterized. The transcript has 2 exons. The record is from RefSeq and is a predicted model, not a curated record. NCBI's taxonomy places the organism in Eukaryota, Viridiplantae, Streptophyta, Magnoliopsida, Myrtales, Myrtaceae.
UGGACCUGUUAUUCUUGGAGCAUCACAAUCCAAUGGCACUACGGUGGAUGAUUACUCUCCUGUUGUGGCUUCUAUAUGUGAAAAUGAGCCUACAACUAUGGAGAAUAAUCAUGCUAAUGGUUCUUCACAACUAGUGGUGGCUAAUGGAGUCGUGUAUUCCCCUGGAGAAGUUGUUCCUGAUCUGGAUAGUGCUUCUGGAUCGAGCACGAGUGAUGCUGCUGCCCUUCUUUUCCCCAAUGAUGUUGUUCCUGUUGAGGCUGAUUCUGCAGAUUCCAAAAGCUCAACCAAUCUGGAAAAGUUCAACCAAGCUGGAAAUUGACUUACAGUGUGGCAUCCGGAACUUUCGACGUCCGUCAAUAAUAUUUAGGAUAUUAAGAGGAGAAUAAAUAAUUAACCAGAUUUUUGGAUGAUGUUGUGAAUUGUAAGGUGCGGACGUUUCGAAAUAUAUUUUUAGUGUCCUUGUUUUUCCAAAUGCGACUCCAUUAGGUUAUAUUACAUAUAUUUUUACUAACUUUUUAUGCUUAAA